GAUAAACGCUAGCGGCAGGCUUAACACAUGCAAGUCGAGGGGCAGCAUUGAUUGUAGCAAUACAAUUGGUGGCGACCGGCGCACGGGUGCGUAACGCGUAUGCAACCUACCCGUCACAGGGGGAUAAUCCGGAGAAAUCUGGUCUAAUACCCCAUAACAUAUGGAUCGGACUCGGUUCAUGUUGAAAUUUUCGGAGGUGACGGAUGGGCAUGCGUAGCAUUAGCUUGUUUGUGAGGUAACGGCUCACCAAGGCGACGAUGCUUAGGGGGACUGAGUGGUUUUCCCCCCACACUGGUACUUAGACACGGACCAGACUCCUACGGGAGGCAGCAGUGAGGAAUAUUGGUCAAUGGGCUCAAGCCUGAACCAGCCAUGCCGCGUGCAGGAUGACGGCUCUAUGAGUUUUAAACUGCUUUUGUACAGGGAUAAAUCGGGAUACGUUUAUUCCGUUGAAUGUACUGUACGAAUAAGUAUCGGCUAACUCCGUGCCAGCCGCCGCAGUAA
Molecule: ribosomal RNA, 504 nt
Filed under: uncultured bacterium
Lineage: Bacteria
Description: partial 16S ribosomal RNA
Rfam family: Bacterial small subunit ribosomal RNA
Source: RNAcentral